Acinonyx jubatus (cheetah) is the source of this 927-nucleotide non-coding RNA. Lineage: Eukaryota; Metazoa; Chordata; Mammalia; Carnivora; Felidae. The record is from the annotation of a RefSeq genome assembly.
GGGAAAAUAUCCUUGUUCUCUUUUAAAAUUUUUUGUUUAAUCCUAGGGGUGGGAGUAGACCCAAUCAAGAGACUGCUCCGUGUUCAGCUGAUGCUUGGCUUGGAAACACCCAACUGGAAAGCUGCCUGGCAGAGGGCUGUGCUACUGGCUGCCUAGGUCUUGCUGGGACCUCCCCCAAUGUAGGCUAAGAUACAGAUCCUGAGCUCUGCGACCUGGGACUCCAGUUUGCACUUGAACUAUGAGAUCACUGACGGGAUUAGCUAUUCUCGUAACUUUAGGUAUUAUGAGCGAUGCUGAGACCACACAGCCAAAUGCAAUGGAGAGUACAGAAGAGGAAUCUGUACGCCUGCCCUGCAACCACUCCACAAUCAGUGGGAGUGAGUACAUACACUGGUAUCGACAGAUUCCCCACCACGGGCCAGAGUAUUUGAUUCAUGGUCUAAAAGACAAUGUGACUAAUGGAAUGGCCUCUCUAACCAUCGCAAAAGACAGAAAGUCCAGUACCUUGGUCCUGCCCCGGGUUACCCUGAGAGAUGCCGCCGUGUACUACUGCAUCACCAGAGACACACACUGGGACAGAUGGGGCUGCACCUGUUACACUAUCUGCCUGGCGGGGAGGGGAGGGGCAGGGGGGGAAGGGAAGCAGCAGCUGCCAUCUCAAGAGGUCACUGCACAAGAAUGAGCCGGAGCCCAGGAGAAGAGACGUAAAGAAGAAAAGGGGGAAGAGGUGAAGAGAAGAUUGUAAGGAAGUCAAGGAAGAAAGAAUAAAAGGAUCAAAGAGGAUGCAGAAGAAGGGCUUAGUUAUUAAAGGGAAGGACUAAAACGCUUUCAAGGAAACGAAGAGACACAAUUGUAAACCUGCCAUAAAGGGAAAGGGAAAUGAGAAUUUGCCAUAGCUCUUUGUUUUUUUUUUAAAUUUAAUAUAUU